AUUCAGUGAGGCACGAAAUGGCUUGUCCCAGGUGUGGAUCCGAUGAGGUUUUGCAAAGAAUCAGUUAUAUGUAGAUGUAUAUAGUCCAUUUAGAAGUUUAUGAUGGUGCUCUUCUGGUUGAUCCGAGUCGUUUGUGUGUUUUUUCUAACGAUUUGUCGAAAAAGAACCUUACUUCCUUGCAGAUUUUGGCCCAUUAUCCCUGGAGACAUGAGCUGAUGGACAGCUCCACCUUAUAA
RNAcentral lists this long non-coding RNA (236 nucleotides) under Hordeum vulgare. RNAcentral describes it as "long non-coding RNA (HVUL_LNC015129)". Lineage: Eukaryota; Viridiplantae; Streptophyta; Magnoliopsida; Poales; Poaceae. The record is from RNAcentral.